GGCGGACGGGUGAGUAACACGUGGGUAACCUGCCUGUAAGACUGGGAUAACUCCGGGAAACCGGAGCUAAUACCGGAUAGUUCCUUGAACCGCAUGGUUCAAGGAUGAAAGACGGUUUCGGCUGUCACUUACAGAUGGACCCGCGGCGCAUUAGCUAGUUGGUGGGGUAAUGGCUCACCAAGGCGACGAUGCGUAGCCGACCUGAGAGGGUGAUCGGCCACACUGGGACUGAGA
Molecule: ribosomal RNA, 234 nt
Filed under: Bacillus pumilus
Lineage: Bacteria; Bacillati; Bacillota; Bacilli; Caryophanales; Bacillaceae
Description: partial 16S ribosomal RNA
Rfam family: Bacterial small subunit ribosomal RNA
Source: RNAcentral